Molecule: ribosomal RNA, 468 nt
Filed under: uncultured bacterium
Lineage: Bacteria
Description: partial 16S ribosomal RNA
Rfam family: Bacterial small subunit ribosomal RNA
Source: RNAcentral
GAUGAACGCUGACAGAAUGCUUAACACAUGCAAGUCUACUUGAAUUUGGGUUUUUUAACUUAGAUUUGGGUGGCGGACGGGUGAGUAACGCGUAAAGAACUUGCCUCACAGCUAGGGACAACAUUUGGAAACGAAUGCUAAUACCUGAUAUUAUGAUUAUCAGGCAUCUUAGAAUUAUGAAAGCUAUAUGCGCUGUGAGAGAGCUUUGCGUCCCACUAGCUAGUUGGAGAGGUAACGGCUCACCAAGGCGAUGAUGGGUAGCCGGCCUGAGAGGGUGAACGGCCACAAGGGGACUGAGACACGGCCCUUACGCCAACGGGAGGCAGCAGUGGGGAAUAGUGGACAAUGGACCAAGAGUCUGAUCCAGCAAUUCUGUGUGCACGAUGACGUUUUUCGGAAUGAAAAGUGCUUUCAGUUGGGAAGAAAAAAAUGACGGUACCAACAGAAGAAGUGACGGCUAAAUACGUG